CCUACGGGAGGCAGCAGUGGGGGAUAUUGCACAAUGGGGGGAACCCUGAUGCAGCGACGCCGCGUGGGUGAAGGAGUGCUUCGGCAUGUAAAGCCCUAUCGGCAGGGAAGAAGCAAGACGGUACCUGACUAAGAAGCCCCGGCUAACUACGUGCCAGCAGCCGCGGUAAUACGUAGGGGGCGAGCGUUAUCCGGAUUCACUGGGUGUAAAGGGCGCGUAGACGGCCAUGCAAGCCAGGGGUGAAAGCCCGGGGCCCAACCCCGGGACUGCCCUUGGAACUGUGCGGCUAGAGUGCGGGAGGGGCAGGCGGAAUUCCUGGUGUAGCGGUGAAAUGCGGAGAUAUCAGGAGGAACACCGGCGGCGAAGGCGGCCUGCUGGACCGCGACUGACGUUGAGGCUCGAAAGCGUGGGGAGCGAACAGGAUUAGAUACCCGGGUAGUC
RNAcentral lists this ribosomal RNA (441 nucleotides) under uncultured bacterium. RNAcentral's name for it is "partial 16S ribosomal RNA". It matches the Rfam family "Bacterial small subunit ribosomal RNA", at positions 338 to 795 of the family's 1533-position model. The record is from RNAcentral.